RNAcentral lists this long non-coding RNA (10180 nucleotides) under Olea europaea (common olive). Its description in RNAcentral is "long non-coding RNA (OEUR_LNC011754)". The record is from RNAcentral. Lineage: Eukaryota; Viridiplantae; Streptophyta; Magnoliopsida; Lamiales; Oleaceae.
UCUAACAACAAUUUCCUUCCCCCUUUCCGACGAUUUUCCGUCGCCCCGCGGCCGCCUGCCCGGAGAUCCAACUUCACGGAGCGGCGGCAGCCUUCUUCCGCCGCGGCUGAGCAGCAUACGGAGAGUGCUUCUUCUCCGGCGGAGGUGGAUUACUGGGCUUGCAGUUGGGCUCCUUGUUGGGCUUCCGGCAACUGCACACUGUGUAGCUAACAGCUUGAAUUUCUGUAGAGUCGUCAUGAUUUGUUCCUGUAAAUAGUUUAAUUUAAUGAAUUUUAUUUUUAUUUUUUUUAUUAUCAAUUUUGCAGAUUAAAAUGAAUUGAGGAUUUGGAAUUUUCAAAGGGUGAAGGGGAAGAAGAUGAAAAGGAAAGUGUGGGCAUGGUCUUAUGAAAGGUGGCCAUUAGAUAGUCUUUGUUUGGUUCAUUGUAUAUUUAUAAAGAAUUUUCAUUUUUAUUAAUUGCUAAAAAUAUACUCCCUCCGUCUAAUAAAUAUAAUUAUGUUUUUUUUUUUUUUGUCUAUUUCAAAUUAUAGUAUUAUUUCUUAUUUAGUCCCUGUUUGAUCCCCAUUACCUAAAAAUGAAAAUGGGAGAAUAAUAUUUUUUAGAAAAAUGAGUGGUUAAAAAAGAACGAAAAAUUUUCGAUUUACGUGUAAUAUUAUUUUAUGGAAGAUUGUGUGGUUGAAAAUAGGAAAGAGAAAAAUAAAAUGUAAUGUAAUUUAAUUUAAUGGGGUUCAAACAGGGGCUUAGAAUGUAGUUAAUAUAUUAAUGUCCUGAUAUGCCCGUAUCUAAUGUGUUUUGUUAUCACAAAUAUAACUUAAUUAUCUUGGAUUUUGAUUGCAUUAACAUAGGGGUAUAUUAAGAAAAAUGAUAGUAAAAUUUAUUAUUUCAAUUAUAUGAAUUAAUUUUUUUUAAUCAAUGUGAAAAAAGAAAUAUGACCAUCUUUAUGAGACGAAUGUAGUAAGUUGAUAGAAAUUAGUAAUAAGUAAGUAAAAUACGGAAUGUUAAUAAGUUACUUUUAGCGUAUAUGUGUAUAUGAAUGAGUAAAAUGCACGAAGUAGAAAGUUAGUCUGCAAUUUUUCAAAAGGAUAAUUGGCACAUUAUGUCUCCCUUUCACCAUUAUUGUAAAAAAGGUAUUCACUUUUCAAUUUUUGACAUUUUCAUCCUUAAUUAUACUGUUAAUUGUGCAAAACAUCAUUUUAAUUCAAUUUCUCAAUAAAAAGUUGUGAAAUAAUGAAUACACCAUCAUAUUUAAAUAAAAUAAAAAGAAAAGAAGAGAAAAAUAAAGAUCUAAUUAUAAUCAUACUCCAAAAUUUUUUAAAAAGUACAAACGAGUUCCAAAUAAGUUAUUAAAAAAUUAGAAACUAAAAAUAAAUAAAUAAAAAUUCUCUUUCUUUUCCUUAUUCCUCCUCCUCCUCCUCCUCCUCCUCCUCCUCCGCCCACCAUUUCUUUAUUUCUUGUUUAAGUGAGAGAUUAAUUUGAUAGUUGGGACAAAAUGGAUUUGAAGUGGAAUAAUCCAAAGGAACUGGCUAUCUUUUCCUAGUUUCCCCAUUUCUUUAUUUCUUGUUCAUGCAUCGUGACACUGAGAAAAAAAUGCAUCUAGCAAGCUGAUUUUCCACUUAGCCAAAUAAGCUUAGCCCAUCUACCAUUCAUUUCUUUUGAUGUAUAAAUUCAUUUCACCUCAAAAAUCAGAAUAAUUUGCCAAAUAAACCACAAAUACACACACAUGCACAGAGAACGGAUUACCUUGUUCCAUGUUCAAUUCUGCUUUUGGAAUGCAAAGUGUGGAUGAAAUGCUCCUUGGAGAGCCAUUUUCCCCACAAAAAAAGAAAAAAGAAAAAAAAGUGUUUUUAAGUAAGAUUUUAAUAUUUUUAUGGAAAAUCUUUUUGAUUGUGUGUUAAGAAUCAGUGCUGGAAUGGGUGCAUUGAUGGAGAAGGAUAAGACAUUUAUAAAUUAAGGAUGAAUGUUGGUGUCCCACAUGAGUUAUCUAUCUCUAAUAAGAUUUAAAAUCAUGACAGAAAACAAAUUGGGCCUAUACAAAUUAGUGGUGGUGGUAGAGGAGGAGGAGGAGGAGGAGGAGGAAGAAGAGAAAGAAGAAGGAAAAGAAAGAAUUUUUUUUUUAAAUAAUUUAUUUGGGAUUCAUUUGCACUUUUUUUUAAAAAAAAAUUUGGAAGCAUGGUUACAAUUAGUUCCUUUUUUUCUUUUUGUUUUAUUUAAAUAAAAGAGUAUAUUUGUCAUUGCACUAUUUUUUAUUGAGAAGAUGAAAAUGAAAUUUUUGGUGUGAUUAAGGGUGAAAAUACCCCCCCCUCCCCCCUCCCCCCAAAAUAAAAAUAAAAAUAGGAACGUUAUGUUCUAAUUACCCUUUUCGAAAACUGUAAGCAACUCUUAGUUGUUCAUGUUAAUUGCACGAUUAGUCUUUAAUAAACAUAAACAAUUUAAAAGAUCUUCUAAAACCAACUCUUCUCAAAAUGUCAUUUAAAAAGGUUGAGUUGGAAUCAAAUUCUAACUAUGAAUUCUUAUACAUUUCUAAACGGUUUAGUUACAAAAGAACUAGGAGCGAAGACAUUUCUCCCCUUUCGUCUAACUAGAAGGUUUGAAUGAUUUUCGUUAUUGGAAAAUAAUAUACUUAGAACAUACUCAGUGUCAAAAGAUUAUGCUAUAAUUUGGUUUAAAGUUUGGUCCAUUUUUUUCCUUUUACUUCAUAAAAUUAAUCUAUUUUUUAAAAUAAUAAUAAUAAAAGGUUUAGCUAGUUGUGUUAUACUUAUUAAAGAUCAAUGAUUAACUUGUUAUUUGAGCAAUAUAUGAAGGGCAACCGUGCAAUUUUUCUAAAGUGAGAAAAACGUAGUUUACAUUGGGUGACUUUAUAACGGGGAAGAAGGACCGUUGUCUUAUUGUUUGUCCGGCUCUUUUCAGGCUUCUAAGCUGUAAUUCUUACACGUGGCGGGAAUUAGUAUCCUUUGGGACCCAUUUUGUUAUCUAGAGCGAACCAAUUUUGUCUUUUAUAUGUGCUUCGUUGGUAGUUAUACUAAACCCCAUUGUCCGAUCGGAUUAAAAUUAAAUUUUUAAUAAAUUUUUAAAAAAUAUAUAUGAUUGAAAAAUUAUAUAUUCAAUAAAAUAUAUGAUUAAAAUUAAUUAUUAACUAUAAGUUAAAUUAAAAUUUCACUACCAAACAGGGACUAAGUGAUUAUAUGCAUGUAAGUUUUACCGAAUAUAAGUCACAUAAAAUACGUAAAAAAAAUAUUUAAUCAACUUAAAUAAUAAUUUAUACAGUGUCAUUGAGUUCUUAUUCAAUUUUUCAAGACCUUUUAAGUUAUAGACUCUUAACAAAUUAGGCACACAGGUUUAAUAUAUGAAAACCGUUAUUUUUAAAUAAAUUUAAUUGAGUUAUAUAUAUUUUUUUAAAAUACUAGUAGCAUAUUUUAUUAAGAUCGAAAAGGAAAUUGCGAAACUUUGAAGAGGGACCGAAUGCUACAUGAAUAUUAAGAUUGAUAUAAAACUUGACAUAAUGUCAUGUGGCACAUUUUAUCAUCGGACAAUUUAAAACACUUCAACUUUUCUAUUCAAUCAUCUACUGUCACAUGUAAUUAUGUCAAAUUUUCUAUCAAAUCCUUCUUGCAAAGUAGCUUCAUCCAAGCGAGAAAAGGUAGAACUUACCCAUUCAAAAAAGGAAGUACAAGAAAGUUUUAAACUAAAACAAAAUUUAGCGUUUUUUUUAUGGGGAUUAAAAUCAAUUUUUUUUGUAAAUUUGUUGAAAAUUAAUGAAAUGUGUGGUUGAAAAAUUGUAAGACCUAUAAAAUAUGUUAUUAAAAUUAAUUAUUGAAUUUGAUUUAGAUUAAAAUCUGAAAUUUAAUUAUUUAGUGAAUUUCUUUGUUAUUUAAUGCACCUUAAAUGUAGGGAUAUUCAUAUUGAGAAAAUAGCGAGUUCAUAUGUUUAGAUAAGAUUGAUUCUAUUCAAGAAAGACUAUCAAUUAAAUUUGAGAAAUUCGAUUGGCAGCUCAAAUGAAAUAAUAUUGCCUUAAUUUAAUACACGAUGUUAAAUUAGAAAAACUAAGAUAAAAUCAUGAGUCCUAACAUCUUGUUAAUCAAUGUUUUUUCAUCGGUCAAAUUUGUGAUCGCUACUCCAAUUCUUUAAUUAAAUUUUAAUUUUUAGUAAAAAAUUAACAAAUUAAAUCAAAUAUUUUAAAAUUUUAAAAUAAAUAGUUAGGAAUAGUGUAAACUUUAAGCCCUUAUUUGAGCCUCAUUAUUUCCAUCAGAAUAUAUUAUUUAACAGUGAUUUGACUCAUUUCAAUCACACAUUCUUCAUUAAAAUAAUAUUACACACAAAUUUAAAAUUUUUAUUUAUUUUUUAACCACACAUUUUUCGUCAACACACUAUUCAAAAAUAUUUUUUUUUGGUAAGAAUGAAACUCAAACAAGAGCUAAAUUGAAGGUCAACAACACAUUCUCUUGGGUUGACACUUGACUUGAAUUUAUUGUUUUACUAGUCAUAAUAUCUUUGCAUUUAUAAUCAAAGUGAUAAUGUCGUUGCAGUAGUUGUGGUGGUUAUCUUGUCAUCGCCAAUAUUCUUUCGUGUCUCAUUAUUAUCUUCGAUAUUUCGUUAAUUAACAUACUUGGUCUUGAAGAUGGUUUCUAACCAAACUAGUCUAUGUCACGUGUGUUGCACGAGUUUUAUAUUUAUUUUGUUGUUAUUAGCGUAGAAUUCGUUGAUUUGACCAAAAAAAAAAAAAAAAAUUUGAAGAUGUGAAAUGUUUGCUUGAUUUACAUUCUUUUGUAGACUGUAUAUUGUAUGUCAAUGAUAAUUCAUUUUUAUUUUCAUAAAUAAAUAUAAUCAAUGAUGUCGACUGUAUACUGUAUGUCUUCGAUAAUUUAUUUUUAUUUUUUAUCAAUAAUUAUAAUCAAUGAUGUAAUGAUCUUGCGAAAUUAGGUUGUAUAUGUUUAGGUGCAUAAGUGAAAAGUUAAUUAUUUAUUGAUUGGUAUUUUUUUAUUUAGAUUAAAGUAGAUGAAGAAUUGAUUUUUUUAUUUGAUAUUUAUUGCAAAUAAGUUGCAACUUGAAUUUAGCAAAAUGUUUGAACUACUGAAUAAUGAACCCUAAUGUUUAUGGUCUACAAAAAAGAUCACACUGAUGGAACUCUGACUUGUCUAUAAACUUUUAAAUUUCAGUUAUAUCUUUUCUAUUUAACUAAUAUGAAAUAAUUAUCUUUCCCUAUGUAUUAAAAAUUUAUCGCUGGAUUCAUUGUUAAUUUAUUUGUGCUAUUUCUAAUUCUAAUUCCAUCUUUCUUGCUUACUAAUAUUAAAAUAUAUUAUUUUAUACUGAUGUCAGGUAAGUUUUAAUUCUUUUGAAUUAAACAAUCUCCUCAACUCUUUCAUAUCUAAUAAAAUAGAUGUACCGCACCGUUUCUUCUGAAUUAACACACCUUCGUUGAGCCAUGACGUUCAUGGUCUUCUUCCAAAUUAUCACACCUUCGUUGUGCCAUGAGAUUUGUCUAGUGAGUAUUAUAAAAAUUUAUCUUAUAUAAACUUUCAUUAAACAACAAAAAACCUUUCACACAAACAUAAAACCCAUUCUUUUCUCUCAAAUACUUACAUCUCUUCUACGCGCUUUAUUCAAUUUCAGUUUAUAUAAAUUAAGUAUUGUCAUGGAUAUCAUUCAACCACCAUAUUAGCAUUAUAUUUAAGGUUAAUUAGUCUGAUCAUAAUCCUUUUCCUUUUAACUCAAGUCAUAUCACAAAUGUGUUCAAUUAAGCUAAUAUAUGAAGAUCAAUCCUAAAUCAUUUGAGAAACAUUAAAAGAUGAAUUAUUCAUCAAAGUUAUAUAAUAAGUUGAUAAGAUAUUUCUUCAAUCGGUAUAAAAAUUGGAAGGAUAAUUUCAAUCAAAAAACGAUGACCCUCAUCUCUCAUUUCAUGAUAAUAUUCCUGUUGGAACUCCAUAUAUACUUGUGAGGGCGAAAAUUCAUUCAUUUCCAUGCACACAUAUAAAUUUAAAAGUAUACACACAUAUACAAAGUAACAAACUAACAUAAAAAUAGAAGAGAAGAGAACAAUACGAAAAUAUAAUUUACUGGGAUUUAAUUUAUAGCAAUCCAAUAAUAGGAACUGAUGAUGGUUGGUGAAAAUAAUUUUAUCAAAAUAAGGAGAGUUCUCAUACUCUUCUGUGAAAAUUACACUACAUAAUAAAUAGCAUUAAAUCAACCAUUAAGCUUGUUUACCUCCACGUUUUUUUUUUCAAUUUUAAUUAAAUAAUAUUUAUGUAUUCUUUUAUUUAAUUUUUGUAACUUUCUUUUGUUUAAUUUUUUUAUUAUAUAUUUUUUGUAAAUUGUUUUAAAUUUUCCUUUUUCUUCAUAUUAUAACUAAUUUUUUGUUCAAUUUAAAUUUUUUUUUAAUUCUUUUCGUUUUUUGAGAGAACGUAACUUGUUCAAUUUUAAUUAAUAAUAUUUAUUUUUAUUUUUAAUUAUUUCAAUUUAAUUAAAAAACUUUAUAAUAACAUUUUUUUUUCUAUUUUUGACUGAAUUUUUUUUUUCUUUAAUUUGUUAAAUUAUUUAGUUUGGAUGAAGUGUAGUGUGUGAAAAUGAAAAAAAAUAUAUUACAGGGGAGGUGAUUGUUGCAAUGAAGUGGCGUGUAAAAAUGGAAAAAUGAUUGAAGACAACACGACGUCGUUUUUGCUCCCACGAUUAAAAAAAAAUUGUUACAAUGUGAUAAAAUGAAAGAAUUCACUGAUACUACUAUAGUAACUUCUCAUUCUCUUUUUUAUAUAGUAGGGAUAUUCUAUCAGCGUGCUUUCAAACAUAUCCAACUUCGUAUUUUUAUUUAUUUUCACUUAUUUUAAAAUAUGGAGGAAAAAUAUGUCUUUUAGCCCCUAUUUGAUCCCCACUACAUGAAAAUGAAAAUGAAAAUGGGGGGAAUAGUAUUUUUUAGAAAAAUGAGUGGUUGAAAAAGAAAGAAAUUUUUUUGAUAAAACCCUUGAUUGACAAUGUUGUAUUAAUUAAGAGACGAAAUCGUCACCCAAUUAACUCUGUCCCAGUUGAUUAAGGAUUGUUGUUUCCACAAGUACAACAUCCCUAGACAAAAUAUAUGAAAACACCAUUUUCAGCUGCAAAAAUGAAACAACAAUAGCUCAAGACACAAGUCCAUUUCAUAUGUACAUUUACUUCACAAGUCCAUUUCAUAUGUACAUUUACUUCAAAAUACAAAUUAGUAGGCGGUUUUCAAAACUUUGUACCUAUCAACACAACAAAAGACAUCGUCACAAAAAGAUUAAGCAUAAGCAAAUCAAAAGCAUACUUCGAUUACAUGAAUUAAAAUUAGAGAAAUGCAAGCUGUUUGGUUUUACUCAAAAGUCAAAUGUAAGUCGAUGAAACUUACUUUUCUAGAAAGUACGAUUAUAACUUGCUUUUUAGAAGAAUGACUUUUAAGCAGAAUCAAAAAUGCUAUUUAUCGGUGAAUACUGAAAUAGGUGAAGGCGGGGAAAUGCUGCCGGUCAAAAGCGCUAUCUCAUCGUCGACAGAAAUGUCUACAACCUCGACCUUGUGAGUGUUCAACUUUUCAUUCUGAAUUGCUCGUAAAGUCUCUAGUACUUCUUCCAUUGAAGGCCUCAUAUCUCUUUCCUGCUGCAAACACCGAAAUGCCAACUCUGCAACAAGUGUAAUCAUCCUUCUCGUAGUACAAUCCCUCUCAAAUCCGAGACUCUGAUCAACCAAAUCAUGCAACGUACGAUUUUGAAUUUUGUUGAUAGCCAUGUUGGAUAAGUUGAUAUCGUGACGGUGUCUGUUGGUAUCCACAGCUUGUAAUGAAGACAUGAGUUCAAUCAAAACCACCCCAAAACUAUAAACGUCACUCUUUUCUGUGAGUUUGUAGCAUUGGUAGUAUUCGGGGUCAACAUAGCCAGGAGUCCCUUGUGGAGCAGUCGACACGUGUGUCACGUCAUUCGGGAAUAUUCUGGACAACCCAAAAUCAGCAACUUUUACAUGGAAAUCAUUGUCCAGGAGAAUGUUGUUGGUUUUUACAUCACGAUGCACGAUGUCCGAUUUAUGGAGAUAAGUUAGUGCAUCCGCUGUUUCAAUGGCAAUAUUCAACCGAAUUGGCCAAGAUAGCAAGCCAGACUUCGCCCUUUUUCCGUGCAAAUGAUCAGCCACUGUUCCAUUCGGUAUAUACUCGUAGACUAGCACUAGGUCUCGGCUACUUUUUGAUGUGCAUCCAUACAGUGUCACAAGGUAUAUAGGUUCUUUGAAGUUAUUUAUCUAUUAUUUUAUAGUACAAGAUGUUAGUGGCGGACUCAGACAUUUUGUGGGAUCAAAAAUUAAAAUGCAGUCAAUACAGUACUAUAAUUAUAGCCUACGGAUUUUAUACUUUGAAAAAGUCGUCUAAUUACAACAUUAUCAAUAAUAUAUGUAUUAGGAAUCACUUCUACCAUUGCACUCGAACUCUAAGAGGAUCCUUUUGAUAAGAUAACUAGCUUAGUGAGCUCUUAUUUUCAUAAAAUAAAUAAGUUAUUUACAUAAAAAAAAAGUAAAUAAACAUGCUUUAAAGUGGAAAUCUAAAAAUAUGUGCUCCAUGUUGUUAAUAGGAGGUCCAAAAGCAUAUCCUCGAGUAGUGGUGCACUUGUCAAAAAGUAUUAUCAAAGCAUGAAAAUAAAGACCAAAUUAAAAAUUGGUUGUCCCUUUCAUGAUUUUGUGCCACUUUUUAGAAAUCUGUCACCAUCUUAAUUAGUAAAUACAAAUUUCAUUUUCAACAUAAUUAAUUAUGUGUUAGAAGAAUUAGUUUCUUGCCUUGCAGGUCAAACAAACAACCGUCUCUCAUUUAUUGACAGAAUUGGCAUCUUUAUACUAUAAUUCAAACAAGAUUAAUGAUCUUCUAUGACAAGGCUCUGUCAAAAAAUUCCUUAAAAACUAACAAGUUGCUUCUAAAUUUAUUUCAAUAAUUUUCUUACUGUAUUUUAUUUCAUUAAAAGAAUUUUUAAAGAAAGUUAAAUGAAAAGAACAAACUUGAAAUCUAAUCGUUCUAAAAGUAAGUAUUUUAUUAAAAGUAACGAGAUUGAGUAAUGCUUUUUACAAUCAUUUACAAUCGCUUUACGUGAUAUGUAUAUGAUGAUCAUGUAUGUCACGUAGAACGACUGCAGUAGUGAACAACUGCUUAUAUCAUUAUUCUUAUUAAUAUGCUCAAGUCAUUUUGACGAAGGUACAAGCAUCUAUACAAAGUACUUCGUUAUCACUUCUAAUGAUAUAUUUCAAUGGUGAAAUUCCUUUAUGUUUUUACAUUUUUUUAAGGGUAAUAGGAUAUACUAUUUUUACAAGUAUCUAUUAACAAAAAAGUUCCGUACAAAAUUACCUCUCAAUGUGAAAAUAUUUGGUUUUGCUACAAGUACAGAAAAAAUUGACAGAAUUUUUACAAAGAAAUACUUGGUAAAUUUUCAUUGAUUUUUGACACAACAAACACAGAAAUUACACCAUACAAAUACUGUCAACACAACACCUAUAUCAUUUCUGUCAAUAAUUCCCCGUACCUAUGGAAUUAUUCUAAAAUUAAGGGUAACAUAGAGACUUAACGGCGAUAGACAAGAAUUAUGAGUUUAACAUAGAGAUAACAUUUUUUUUUUAAUACGAAAUUUGACGAUAACGACAUAGUUCUUCUACCUUCAUAAUCUUAAAAAAGCAGAAGCCAAAAUUACCUAAAAUAAUGAAAAGCAAAAAUUUAAGACUAAAAAUAAUUAUUUUACUAUUAAAGGUCAGAUUAAUCACAUCACUCGGGUAUGCCGACGAGAACCGGCCGCCAAGCUCUCCUAAGCAACCGGUGCCGGAACAUAGCUGAUAACGGCCGUCCGGAACGUGCCCCACCGACGCCCGCAGUUGGUAACAGCCCUUCUCUUAUAUUCUCCGAAACUUUCUCUUUGAACGUCGGAGGUGACGAAACAAACAAAUCCUUCAGUUUAUGUCUAACAACAAUUUCCUUCCCCCUUUCCGACGAUUUUCCGUCGCCCCGCGGCCGCCUGCCCGGAGAUCAACUUCACGGAGCGGCGGCAGCCUUCUUCCGCCGCGGCUGAGCAGCAUACGGAGAGUGCUUCUUCUCCGGCGGAGGUGGAUUACUGGGCUUGUAGUUGGACUCCUUGUUGGGCUUCCGGCAACUGCACACUGUGUAGCUAACAGCUUGAAUUUCUGUAGAGUCGUCAUGAUUUGUUCCUGUAAAUAGUUUAAUUUAAU